Molecule: ribosomal RNA, 254 nt
Filed under: uncultured bacterium
Lineage: Bacteria
Description: partial 16S ribosomal RNA
Rfam family: Bacterial small subunit ribosomal RNA
Source: RNAcentral
GACAGAGGGUGCGAACGUUGUUCGGAAUUACUGGGCGUAAAGAGCGCGCAGGCGGUCGUUCAAGUCGCGUGUGAAAGCCCCCGGCUCAACUGGGGAGGGUCACGCGAUACUGAUCGACUCGAAGGCAGGAGAGGGUAGUGGAAUUCCCGGUGUAGUGGUGAAAUGCGUAGAUAUCGGGAGGAACACCAGUGGCGAAGGCGACUACCUGGCCUGUUUCUUGACGCUGAGGCGCGAAAGCUAGGGGAGCAAACGGG